RNAcentral lists this transfer-messenger RNA (333 nucleotides) under uncultured Agathobacter sp. It matches the Rfam family "transfer-messenger RNA". From Rfam's summary of the family: Bacterial tmRNA, also known as 10Sa RNA or SsrA, is named for its dual tRNA and mRNA-like properties. Its role is to liberate the mRNA from a stalled ribosome. The record is from RNAcentral. Lineage: Bacteria; Bacillati; Bacillota; Clostridia; Lachnospirales; Lachnospiraceae.
GUAAUGGUUUCGACGGGGAUCAUGCAGCUGGAGAAGCGAGUCGUACGGCGAUGCGUCAAAUGGCCAAAUUAAAAUUAAACGCUAACGAUAAUUUAGCAUACGCUGCCUAGUUGCAGCAGUCGGCUCUAGAGCACUCACACUUUAGAAUCCCGGCUUCGACUAUGUGAGAAACGACACUUGCAAAGCUUUGAGCAUGUGGGCGUAUCAUGAAGCUACUAAAAUCACCAGGGUGUUUAUCCCCGGGUGACAGAGGGAAUGUCAAAGGAUAAACUACGCUCGUAGAAGGACAGGGAAUUGGUUUUCGGACACGGGUUCGACUCCCGUCUAGUCCAC